Molecule: ribosomal RNA, 774 nt
Filed under: uncultured Neocallimastigales
Lineage: Eukaryota; Fungi; Neocallimastigomycota; Neocallimastigomycetes; Neocallimastigales
Description: partial large subunit ribosomal RNA
Rfam family: Eukaryotic large subunit ribosomal RNA
Source: RNAcentral
UACACGCUGUGACUAGCAUAUCAAUAAGCGGAGGAAAAGAAACUAACAAGGAUUCCCCUAGUAACGGCGAGUGAAGCGGGAAGAGCUCAAAUUUGAAAUCCUAAGGGUUUCCCUUUACGAAUUGUAGUUUAAAGAAGUGUUUUCUGUUGAGGUUUUGGUAAAAGGUUCUUUGGAAUAGGACAUCAUAGAGGGUGAGAAUCCCGUAUUUGACCUUUACUUUCAACUUUGUGAUACACUUUCAAAGAGUCGGAUUGUUUGGGAAUGCAGUCCAAAAUGGGUGGUAAAUUUCAUCUAAAGCUAAAUAUUGGCGAGAGACCGAUAGCGAACAAGUACCGUGAGGGAAAGAUGAAAAGAACUUUGAAAAGAGAGUUAAACAGUACGUGAAAUUGUCAAAAGGGAAGCGUUUGACACCAGUGUUGUUUUUCUGAAAAUCAAUUAAAGAACUGUUUAUGCUAAGCUGUUUAGACUUUAUCAGCUAUCUGUUUAGUUUUGAGCUUUUCUUUAAUGCACUUUUCAGUUAACAAGUCAACAUCAAUUUCUUUUGCUGUAAAAAAGCUUGAGGAAGGUGGCUUGAGAUUCGUCUUAAGUGUUUAUAGCCUCUUGCCUAUGCAGUCGGAGAGAUUGAGGUCUGCAGCGUUAGAUCCUUCGGGGCUAAAUGCAUUUGUGCUAAGUUAUAGCAUUUUAUAGACAACUUGUUGACUAUGAUUUGUCUUGUAGCUUACUCGCUUAUGUUAUUUUACCUACGCUUAGGAUGUUGACUGAUAUGUAGUCGUA